RNAcentral lists this ribosomal RNA (716 nucleotides) under metal-contaminated soil clone K20-28. RNAcentral describes it as "bacterial SSU rRNA". It matches the Rfam family "Bacterial small subunit ribosomal RNA", at positions 53 to 747 of the family's 1533-position model. The record is from RNAcentral. Lineage: Bacteria; Pseudomonadati; Verrucomicrobiota.
ACAUGCAAGUCGAACGGGAUUAUUUUUGUAGCAAUACAGAAAUAAUUCAGUGGCGAACGGGUGCGUAACACGUGGGCAAUCUGCCGAAAAGUGGGGGAUAGCUCGCCGAAAGGCGAAUUAAUACCGCAUGUGGUGAGGGACGACAUCUUCCUGAAUCCAAAGCCGGGGUCAAACCUGGCGCUUUUUGAGGAGCCCGCGGCCUAUCAGCUAGUUGGUGAGGUAACGGCCCACCAAGGCUUUGACGGGUAGCUGGUCUGAGAGGACGACCAGUCACACUGGAACUGAGACACGGUCCAGACACCUACGGGUGGCAGCAGUCGAGAAUUUUUCUCAAUGGGGGAAACCCUGAAGGAGCGACGCCGCGUGGAGGAUGAAGGCUUUCGGGUUGUAAACUCCUGUCAUUUGGGAACAAGUUGCGAGUAUUAACCGUGCUCGCAUUGAUAGUACCAGAAGAGGAAGGGACGGCUAACUCUGUGCCAGCAGCCGCGGUAAUACAGAGGUCCCAAGCGUUGUUCGGAUUCAUUGGGCGUAAAGGGUGCGUAGGUGGCGCUGUAAGUCGGGUGUGAAAUUUCGGAGCUUAACUCCGAAACUGCAUUCGAUACUGCGGUGCUUGAGGACUGGAGAGGAGACUGGAAUUCAUGGUGUAGCAGUGAAAUGCGUAGAGAUCAUGAGGAAGACCAGUGGCGAAGGCGGGUCUCUGGACAGUUCCUGACACU